AACGAACGCUGGCGGCAUGCCUAACACAUGCAAGUCGAACGAGAUCUUCGGGUCUAGUGGCGCACGGGUUCGUAACCCGUGGGAAUCUGCCCUCUGGUUCGGCCUAACAGUUGGAGACGACUGCUAAUUCCGGAUGAUGACGAAAGUCCAAAGAUUUAUCGCGAGAGGAUGAGCCCGGGGAGGAAUAGCUAGUCGGCGUGGUAAUGGCCCACCAAGGCGACGAUCCUUUGGUGGGCUGAGAGGAUGACCAGCCACACUGGGACUGAGACACGGCCCAGACUCCUACGGGAGGCAGCAGUGGGGGGUAUUGGACAAUGGGCGAAAGCCUGAUCCAGCAAUGCCGCGUGGGUGAUGAAGGCCUUAGGCUUGUAAAGCUCUUUUACCCGGGAUGAUAAUGACAGUACCGAGGAAGUAAGCUCCGGCUAACUCCGUGCCAGCCGCCGCCGUAA
Molecule: ribosomal RNA, 449 nt
Filed under: uncultured bacterium
Lineage: Bacteria
Description: partial 16S ribosomal RNA
Rfam family: Bacterial small subunit ribosomal RNA
Source: RNAcentral